Molecule: non-coding RNA, 776 nt
Organism: Hydra vulgaris (swiftwater hydra)
Lineage: Eukaryota; Metazoa; Cnidaria; Hydrozoa; Anthoathecata; Hydridae
Source: RefSeq, a predicted model, not a curated record
UUUUUAUAAAGGAAUUACUAUAGUUAAAAAAGGCUGAAAGGAAAAAAUAUAAUGAUUUGUUUCCAGAAAGGGAGUGACUUACUUCAAAAUGUCAUUUUAAAAUUUUUAUUCUUUAAUGAUAUUCUGGUGUUAUUACCAAAUGUUUAGCAGUAUGAAACCUAUAAUAUUAUAUACCAUACUAUAUACCCUAUUUUACUUAUAAAGUUAAUAAUCUGUAAAGUAAUUUGUAAAAAUUUUUUAAUUGUAAAAUUGCUACAUGAGAAGACAAGUUGUUAGAUGAAAUUCAAAUAUUUUCUAUGUUUGUGUUGUGUAGGUCAAAAAAUAAUAAACAAAGAUGAUAUUGAUUGUGAUGACCAAGAGGUUCAUUUUAAGACACAUCAAUCUUCAUUAUCUUUAAAUAAAAAGGAUAAACAUUAUGGAUUUCCAUUAUCUCAAGCAAAAACUAAGAGUUCAAAAUAUUAGUGGUAAGAACUGUCAAAAACUUGUGAUAGCUAUGAUGAAGAGAUUUGUGACAAAUUCGCUCAUGGCCAAAUCUAAUAUGGCAGCUGGAAAAGGCAAAGGAUCUUUUUAGCCUAACUAAGCUACACAAUUUAAUAAAAGUUUGUGCAUCGACUUCUCACGAAUCAUACACAGAGUCGAUUGACGAUGCAAUAAUUGCUGAUUCGUAAAAACGGGCAACUUUUGCUUGUCUUAAAGUGCCUUAAAUCCAUCGUUAUAAUAUUACUUUGUUUGUAAAUUGUUUUGAAAAAUAAAUUUAAAAAUAACUUUUAAAUAAA